This is a non-coding RNA of Caenorhabditis elegans, 141 nucleotides long. The record is from Ensembl. Lineage: Eukaryota; Metazoa; Nematoda; Chromadorea; Rhabditida; Rhabditidae.
ACAAACAUUUUCAUUAUUAUUAUUAUUUAGUCAUCACCUCUCAACACGCACACAUUCAUUUUUCGUGUACGCCCGUCUUUUUCACUUUUUAAAUCCGGAAAAGACGAAAAGACGCUUGAAAUAUGCAAAUAAUAGUGGGGA